AGUGAACGCUGGCGGUAGGCCUAACACAUGCAAGUCGAACGGCAGCACAGUAAGAGCUUGCUCGUACGGGUGGCGAGUGGCGGACGGGUGAGGAAUAAAUCGGAAUCUACUUUUUCGUGGGGGAUAGCGUAGGGAAACUUACGCUAAUACCGCAUACGACCUACGGGUGAAAGCAGGGGAUCUUCGGACCUUGCGCGAUUGAAUGAGCCGAUGUCGGAUUAGCUAGUUGGCGGGGUAAAGGCCCACCAAGGCGACGAUCCGUAGCUGGUCUGAGAGGAUGAUCAGCCACACUGGAACUGAGACACGGUCCAGACUCCUACGGGAGGCAGCAGUGGGGAAUAUUGGACAAUGGGCGCAAGCCUGAUCCAGCCAUGCCGCGUGUGUGAAGAAGGCCUUCGGGUUGUAAAGCCCUUUUGUUGGGAAAGAAAAGCAGCAGGUUAAUACCCCGCUGUUCUGACGGUACCCAAAGAAUAAGCACCGGCUAACUUCGUG
Molecule: ribosomal RNA, 492 nt
Filed under: uncultured bacterium
Lineage: Bacteria
Description: partial 16S ribosomal RNA
Rfam family: Bacterial small subunit ribosomal RNA
Source: RNAcentral